ACAUUACUACAUUUAUUGAAUAUUUAUCGAAAUCAAGUUGAAGUUUUCAUUUUGGUAAAUAUUUAAUAAAUGCUCUAAUGUUAAUAAAAUUUCGAGACCGACUCGUGACGUAUAGUGGGGCUGUUUUCAUCGUCGUGUUUACAAUUAGUCUGUACGCCUCAUGUCCCUUCUCUUGCGCACAUUCCGCACGCACAUUGUUGCUCCCCACUCCUCGCACUUUUUCAAGUCGACAUCGGCACGUCCUUGUCCUUGUUAUUGUCCUGUUAUUAUUCGCACGGCGGCACUUGUACGGGACAGAUGUUUCAUAUCUGUAUUUUAUCAUCUCCAAUAAUUCUACCUUUACUACUUUCCGCAUUUUUCGAUCUCAUUCUUUUCUAUCGUUAUCUGUUACGAACACGGCAGUGUCGAACGUGUCCGUAUCCGUGCGAUAAUAUUCGAGUCCACUUUUGUCUUAAAUGACGAAAUACGCGUCGGUAGUGCCGUUUAAAACAUCGCGCGAUUUUCGUGAACGCGUGUGAGUGCCUUUGAAGAACUGCAAAGAAGACUGAGAGGAGGAGGAGGCUCAGGAAGGGCAUCGGGCACCAGCGAAGCAACUUUAGAGUCAACUUUGAACAACAACUCCGCUGCUACGCAUCGUACCGCUUAACGCUCUUGACUGGAACGUGACGGGCAGCAAUAUGCUUGCGUGAUAGCAGCUAGUCCAUUAUGCGCGUUUAUGAAUGCAAAUGGGUUAAAGAUGGCCAUGAACGCGCAUGAAGGACGU
Non-coding RNA from Linepithema humile (Argentine ant), 763 nucleotides. The record is from RefSeq and is a predicted model, not a curated record. NCBI's taxonomy places the organism in Eukaryota, Metazoa, Arthropoda, Insecta, Hymenoptera, Formicidae.